GAGAUCUUAGGCAUUCGGCUGUAGAAAUCUUAAACACCCAUUUUCCCCUAUAUCGGCCCCUCUUCUCUUCUCAAUACCUAGAUUCGCCCUCAAAUUUUUUCCUCUGCCGCGGAAUUGAUUCUUGACGAAGUAUAUCCUAUGAAUCUCAGAAACGGUAAACCUAAAUUUUCAGAUUAGGAUUUUCUUUUUUCUUGAUAAAAGAGUUGGAUAUGGAUUUUUGGUGAAUCGUCAAAUUGACGCUUGUUCCCUUUUACCCAUAGUUAGGCACACGCAAUGGAGAAUUUCGAUUUCGAUUCGGUGGAAAGAAGAUAGAUUAAUGCUGGUAAAAUCUCCCUCUUUCCCUCUCUCGCUCUCUCUUCUUGGCCUUCUUUAUGUUUUUCCAAAAGAUAGAAUAGAUUGGAAUAGUCGUAUUGAAAUCCAAGAAUUUAUCGGGGUGCGAGUGCAAUCCAAGAAUAUAUUAGCUUUCCCGUUAGGAAAUAAUUCUGAGGAUUUGAUGCAUGCUUAACAUUUAAGGUUGGUUUUUCUCUAAUGCUAUAUCAAAUUUCGAGGGUUUGAUUUGUAUUUAUGUGAAGAGAAUUUUUAUUUAUUAUUAUUUAUUGCUAUAUGGAAUUUUACCAUGGCAGAAAGAUAGUAAAUGAGUGUUGUGUAUGUAUAUUUAUAGCUAAUAGGUGAAUGUGCUUAGUGUAUUUUUAUUAACAAAAGAAGAUGUGGAUUUGGACUACUUGAAAUGUGUUCCUAUGCUUAGCUUUAUCACUUUUUUCUUUCAAAACAAUGUGUUAUAAAGUUAUAUGUAUAACUUCUGAUGAUUUGAUUGUAUAUGAUAGGUUUCUUAAGGCAAAAGAGACAUGAAUAAUUUGAUAUGCAUUUGGAAAUGCUGCGAAUCUUGUGCCUGCUUGCUGAAGUCGUAAACUAAUUUCUCAAGGAGACUGUAAUUCACAUACAUAUAUAUAAAUAUAUAUAAUAUCUAAAAAUUGUUUCUCUUGUGUAUGUUCUCCUUGUUGGGUUAUCAACAACUUUUUAUUGUAACUUACACUACUUUUAGAUCGAAGCAAAGUUUGGUUCUUUUAUUGUUAUAAUG
This 1078-nucleotide long non-coding RNA is filed under the name Erythranthe guttata (spotted monkey flower). RNAcentral describes it as "long non-coding RNA (EGUT_LNC002072)". Lineage: Eukaryota; Viridiplantae; Streptophyta; Magnoliopsida; Lamiales; Phrymaceae. The record is from RNAcentral.